GUACUGCUGAAGAGUCCAGAGUAGGGACGAAACGGUUGUCCAAUAC
RNAcentral lists this non-coding RNA (46 nucleotides) under Trichobilharzia regenti. Lineage: Eukaryota; Metazoa; Platyhelminthes; Trematoda; Strigeidida; Schistosomatidae. The record is from RNAcentral.